UUGCAUUUAGUUUACUAUUGUAUUGGAUUUUAAAAAAAGAGAAGAAAUUCAAAAAAAAAAUUCAAAAAAAUCAAAUAAAAAAGGAAAAAAAGAAGUGACAAAAAAUCGAGUUAAAAAAAAGAAGAAAGAAAAAAAGUGAAAAGUCUUCGAGAUUUUAUCAUUAUCACUUAUUACUCCGAUCAUCAAGUUUCCCUUCCUACCAACGCCACAUUUUAAACCAAUUUUCUUCUUUGUUCAACCUACCCUACACCCGAC
Molecule: long non-coding RNA, 255 nt
Filed under: Gossypium raimondii (Peruvian cotton)
Lineage: Eukaryota; Viridiplantae; Streptophyta; Magnoliopsida; Malvales; Malvaceae
Description: long non-coding RNA (GRAI_LNC003777)
Source: RNAcentral